This 723-nucleotide ribosomal RNA is filed under the name Triticum aestivum (bread wheat). RNAcentral describes it as "partial small subunit ribosomal RNA". The record is from RNAcentral. Lineage: Eukaryota; Viridiplantae; Streptophyta; Magnoliopsida; Poales; Poaceae.
AUGGUGUCUGAGCCCGACCCCGACCCCGACCCCGACCCCGACGUCUCCCUCCUGCCCCCCGCUCCGAACCCUAGCCACAAACCCUGCCUCCGGGCAGCCAAGACCACGGCCUUCAAGCGCGAGGAGCGCCACAAGCGCAAGGAGCAGAAGCGGGAGUUCAAGCGGCAGCGCAAGGAGCAGAAGCGGGAGCGCAAGGAGCAGCGCAAGGAGCAGAAGCGGGAGGCGCCGCAAGCGCAAGGAGGAGAAGCGCGAUCGCCGCAAGCGCAAGGAGGAGAAGCGCGAGCGCAAGCGGCAGCGGAAGCGGGAGGACACCCUCGCCCUCGCGCUCGCCCAACAGGCCCGGGCCGCGUGACCCGUCCUCGCCCGCGGGCGCCGUGCCCUCCGCCUCCUGGAUCUGGGGCCCUCCAGCGGAACCCUCCGCCGACAGGGCCUAGGGACGCGGGCUCUGAGCCCGAGGGGAUUCUACGAGGCGGAGCGAGGGAGACGGGGUGGUUCCUGUGCCUGGUGUGCGAGGGGAUCGGCGCCAAGGCGGGCAUGCGGUUCCCGGGCUGCUGGUGCAGCACGCCGGCUCGGUCGCCCGGGCCAAGAGGCGGCUCACGCCGCCGCCGCCCUGGGCUGCCUGCUCGGACAACGCCCUUUCCGGUAGAUUGUGACAACGAUGGCGCUUGUGAUCAAGCUGAGCACUUGGAUGAUUCUGAAAGUGCAGAAAUGGAGGUGGCCUAA